CACGUAGGGGGCAAGCGUUGUCCGGAUUUAUUGGGCGUAAAGAGCUCGUAGGCGGCUCAGUAAGUCGGGUGUGAAACCUCCAGGCUCAACCUGGAGACGCCACCUGAUACUGCUGUGGCUAGAGUCCGGUAGGGGAGCGUGGAAUUCCUGGUGUAGCGGUGAAAUGCGUAGAUAUCAGGAGGAACACCGGUGGCGAAGGCGGCUUUCUGGACAGUAACUGACGCUGAGGCGCGAAAGCCGGGGGAGCAAACAGG
This 254-nucleotide ribosomal RNA is filed under the name uncultured bacterium. RNAcentral describes it as "partial 16S ribosomal RNA". It matches the Rfam family "Bacterial small subunit ribosomal RNA", at positions 524 to 776 of the family's 1533-position model. The record is from RNAcentral.